GUCACAAUUCAAAGUUAAAAAAGGAAUCCAUCCUUUUGUCUACCAAUUUAAGAACUCGCGAAGACGUGUCCUACACUGGAGAACUCACUUCAUCAGAAUAUGGAAUCUUCAACUUUGGCCCAUGAUAAUAUUAUUGUGCUGAGUGAUGAUGAAGGCGAUGAACCAAAGCACUUGGAACUUUCUAAAAGGUCUACUUCUGAUGACAGCCC
This 209-nucleotide unclassified non-coding RNA is filed under the name Hevea brasiliensis (rubber tree). The record is from RNAcentral. Lineage: Eukaryota; Viridiplantae; Streptophyta; Magnoliopsida; Malpighiales; Euphorbiaceae.